AGGCGCAAGUCGCCCGGGGAGGAGCCUGCGUACGAUUAGCUUGUUGGUGGGGUAAAGGCCUACCAAGGCGACGAUCGUUAGCUGGUCUGAGAGGAUGAUCAGCCACAUUGGGACUGAGACACGGCCCAAACUCCUACGGGAGGCAGCAGUGGGGAAUAUUGGACAAUGGGCGAAAGCCUGAUCCAGCAAUGCCGCGUGUGUGAAGAAGGUCUUCGGAUUGUAAAGCACUUUCGACGGGGACGAUGAUGACGGUACCCGUAGAAGAAGCCCCGGCUAACUUCGUGCCAGCAGCCGCGGUAAUACGAAGGGGGCUAGCGUUGCUCGGAAUGACUGGGCGUAAAGGGCGCGUAGGCGGAUGGCACAGUCAGAUGUGAAAUUCCCGGGCUUAACCUGGGGGCUGCAUUUGGUACGUGUUAUCUAGAGUGAGGAAGAGGGUCGUGGAAUUCCCAGUGUAGAGGUGAAAUUCGUAGAUAUUGGGAAGAACACCCGGUGGCGAAGGC
This 500-nucleotide ribosomal RNA is filed under the name uncultured bacterium. RNAcentral's name for it is "bacterial SSU rRNA". It matches the Rfam family "Bacterial small subunit ribosomal RNA", at positions 202 to 722 of the family's 1533-position model. The record is from RNAcentral.